This 465-nucleotide ribosomal RNA is filed under the name Vreelandella stevensii. RNAcentral describes it as "partial 16S ribosomal RNA". It matches the Rfam family "Bacterial small subunit ribosomal RNA", at positions 338 to 795 of the family's 1533-position model. Lineage: Bacteria; Pseudomonadati; Pseudomonadota; Gammaproteobacteria; Oceanospirillales; Halomonadaceae. The record is from RNAcentral.
CCUACGGGGGGCAGCAGUGGGGAAUAUUGGACAAUGGGGGCAACCCUGAUCCAGCCAUGCCGCGUGUGUGAAGAAGGCCCUCGGGUUGUAAAGCACUUUCAGUGAGGAAGAACGCCUGGUGGUUAAUACCCAUCAGGAAAGACAUCACUCACAGAAGAAGCACCGGCUAACUCCGUGCCAGCAGCCGCGGUAAUACGGAGGGUGCGAGCGUUAAUCGGAAUUACUGGGCGUAAAGCGCGCGUAGGUGGCUUGAUAAGCCGGUUGUGAAAGCCCCGGGCUCAACCUGGGAACGGCAUCCGGAACUGUCAAGCUAGAGUGCAGGAGAGGAAGGUAGAAUUCCCGGUGUAGCGGUGAAAUGCGUAGAGAUCGGGAGGAAUACCAGUGGCGAAGGCGGCCUUCUGGACUAACACUGACACUGAGGUGCGAAAGCGUGGGUAGCAAACAGGAUUAGAUACCCGUGUAGUC